GACGUAGGGCGCGAGCGUUGUCCGGAUUUAUUGGGCGUAAAGAGCUCGUAGGCGGCUCAUUGCGUCAACCGUGAAAACCAGCAGCUCAACUGUUGGCUUGCGGUUGAUACGGGGUGGGCUGGAGUUCGGUAGGGGGAGACUGGAAUUCCUGGUGUAGCGGUGAAAAUGCGCAGAUAUCAGGAGGAACACCCAGUGGCGAAGGCGGCCCCGCUGGGGCAAGUGGCUGACGCUGAGGCGCGACAGCGUGGGGGAGCAAACAGG
This 261-nucleotide ribosomal RNA is filed under the name uncultured bacterium. RNAcentral describes it as "partial 16S ribosomal RNA". It matches the Rfam family "Bacterial small subunit ribosomal RNA", at positions 524 to 776 of the family's 1533-position model. The record is from RNAcentral.